RNAcentral lists this ribosomal RNA (375 nucleotides) under uncultured bacterium. RNAcentral's name for it is "bacterial SSU rRNA". It matches the Rfam family "Bacterial small subunit ribosomal RNA", at positions 29 to 404 of the family's 1533-position model. The record is from RNAcentral.
AUUGAACGCUGGCGGCACGCUUUACACAUGCAAGUCGAACGGCAGCGCGGGGGCAACCCUGGCGGCGAGUGGCGAACGGGUGAGUAAUGCAUCGGAACGUAUCCUGUAAUGGGGGGAUAACGUAGCGAAAGUUACGCUAAUACCGCAUACGCUCGAGAGAGGAAAGUGGGGGAUCGCAAGACCUCACGUUAUAGGAGCGGCCGAUGUCCGAUUAGCUAGUUGGUGGGGUAAAGGCCUACCAAGGCGACGAUCGGUAGCUGGUCUGAGAGGAUGAUCAGCCACACUGGGACUGAGACACGGCCCAGACUCCUACGGGAGGCAGCAGUGGGGAAUUUUGGACAAUGGGCGAAAGCCUGAUCCAGCCAUGCCGCGUGC